This 600-nucleotide long non-coding RNA is filed under the name Mustela putorius furo (domestic ferret). Its description in RNAcentral is "lncRNA (ENSMPUG00000026145.1)". The record is from RNAcentral. Lineage: Eukaryota; Metazoa; Chordata; Mammalia; Carnivora; Mustelidae.
CAGUGUCGAAUUAAUUUUUUUUCUUAUAGGUUAACAGAAUCACAACACCUUCUCAGGAUUUUACCAAUAUCAACAUUGGAGCGUAAUAUAACAAAAGAAUGAAGAGAAACCUUAACCUCAAUCCAUCAUAAUCUCCCUCAGCAUGUUAGGCAUCAAGGAUAUUUGCAAGAAGAUCCACGCCCUUAAUUUUUUCCACAACUUUCUCCAGAGAGAGAGAAAGAACAAGGGGAGCAGGAGACAGAGGGAGAAGCAGGCUCGCCACCUAGCAAGAAGCCCAAGGUACGACUCUAUCCCAGGAUACUGGAAUCAGGAUCUGAGCCAAAGGCAGAUGUGUAACCAACUGAGCCACCCAGGCAUCCCUAUUUUUCUGUGAUUUUGAAAUCAUUUAGUGGAACUUGAAAUAUACAAAGUCAAACAUAUACAUGGCAAAUUGAUGAGUAGGAUUUAUUCUCCAAUCAUCAAGAAUGGAUUCUCAGCAGGAAAGGAAGUUGAACAACUAUAUGAACAAUGAACCACUCAAAUGAUAUCAACUCUGUGACUUUGUCUAGUUACUUAACUUCCCCAAACUUUGGAUUCCACAUUUGUUUGUUUGGGAUCACC